UUGACUCGUGUGAAGUCGAAGCAGAGUCUCGCCUAUUUGUUGAAUGGAAUGAGCAAUUAGAGGGUGGAAUAUUAUUGUGAUCUUAACGAGGCUCGUUAAAGUUAAGAAGAUAUGUAGGGAGAGAAGGCAGGGGUGGGGUCUCGGGAUGACAGUCACGGACACGGGAAUUUAAAUGAAGCGCUAAAACGGAAUCUACAACAGGGUGCAGAUAGGCUAUUUCACUCUUUAGCGCCUUGUAUGAAGCUGGAGAGGAUGUUACGCCGACUCGCUUAACCCAUAGCCUAAAACAUUAGCCGUAAAACAUGCACUGAAUUUUAUAUCUAAAAGGAUUAACAUAUUUGUUCGCUGUGUAUAUCGCACGCCGAAAACUCCCGGAUCGUUUUUCUAUUUCGAUCGCAUUUCGAUGCUAUUCUCACACAGUGACAGCCGUUUACUAGUGGACGCGCAUCCCUGUGGCUCCGCUGAUGCUUUACUAUGCUCAGAGACCAAACCCUGGCCCAUUGCCCACGCCUGUUGAAAAAAGCACGUGAUCGUUGAUGCACAUUUUUAUUUUUAUUUGAUUAAAAAUGUUUGCAGUUAGCUAUAUAGUUAAAUAAUAUUGUGCGCUACUUUAGGUCGUUAAAAUUUGAAAGACCUUUUCACGAGAAUGAAGGAUAUAAUCUAUAACUAUGCCACGAGAUUCAGCUUCCAGCGGCGUGUUGAUAUGGGUUUUUUGGCAUGCACCAAAAGAGUCUGUGCUGCAUUAUAUUUAGACAGUGCUUAGUAAGUGUUAAAAUUUACGUGUCCACUCGAUAAAGAACAAUGACAAUAUUGUGAGAACAUGAGGUGUACAACGCCGCAGCAUCCAGACUUUCUCUAAUUUAGCUAAUGCUGGCAUAAUUUAAUGCAAUUUCCAGAAUUUUUCAGGUACUUGUAUGUGUUUUUCAGAUACUGAAUUCCAUUUUAUCAAAUAAGUAUACAUGUAAAUGGGAUAACAUUUUUAUUGUAUUAACUUUAUUUCCUAUUCCGGUAGCUUUAUUAUUAGCCACCCAUGUCAGAUUUACAGAAAUGUACUGCAAGGGGCGGGGAAGAGAUCUUAAUAGAAGUAUUGGGUCACGUCGUGUCUCCAGGAUCAAAUCUGUUUGUUCUUCUGUCACAGGAAACUUAAGUGAAGUAACUCCAAGUGGCACUUCAAGUGGUCCCUUUGCAAAGCUUUUUGGACUGGAAAUAACCUGUGUUGUUUCAUUGUUGACUGUGUUUUUAAAAAUCACUUGGUCAAGCUGUUUAACAUUUAGAAAUGCUCUUAAUUAUGACAUAUGAUACAGGAUUUCCCCCAGGUUUUUUAUUUGGCGACAUCAGUGUUUGCGUGGCUUGAUUCAAAUGUGAUUUGCAAAAAGUUCUGUCAUGUAGUGGAACUCACUUAAAAACAGAAAGAACGUCCCAAGUUGCCGUAAAAUCACUUUGUUUAACAUUGCCUUUGUUUUCGUUAAGCAAGUCAUUAGCAUCCCCAAAUAACUUCAUUCACCUGGUUUAAUCGUCUGUUUAUCCCCUAUAGCUUUCAUUGCUCUGUACUAUGCCAAAAUCAGCGGGGAGCAAGGUCCUCAAUACAGAUGAACGUUUAGCUGUUUUUUAUUUGCUGACAAAGACUAUGAAAUAAGAAAGUAAUAGACAGUGGAUUAUUUCGCUGCUGAGCAUAUUUUAUUUAAACAUGUUUCUUGUUUCAGCAUUUAAGUGAAGUGACAUCAGGGGUUUGAAACUUAACACGUAAUUUCGGAGUUCAGUCUCUCUGAAAGAGCCAUAAUAAAACUACGUGUCGUCACAGCAUGCCAGAGAUCACUGAGAAGCUCGGUCGUAUGAGAAGGUCAUCAUUACACUUUGCCAAACAGGAAAUCGAUCUCCACGCGACGGCUGCAGAAACACAGAGUUCUAUCAAGAGACUGUCUUCUCGGGAGCGGUGGUUUGAGUCUUUCUGUUCUUGUUUUGUUUUGUUUUGUUUUAUUUUAUCCUCUUUUCUUAAACUAACUUAUGGGUUGUAACACUUGAUGCGGCUCCAACGAUUUUGAUCCAUUGCUCUCUCUUCCCUUAUGUCACGUCUCUUUCGUCUUUUUUUUUCUUUUCAUUUUUGCGUUUUUCAUUGUUUCAGAUUUAUAAAUGAUCUAUUGCUGUUUUCUGGUGCUAUACUGCAAAAACGGACUUGAUUUAAAUGUUGCUAUGAGGUUUGUGUUGCGUGCACAAUUUUGGACGUCUUUGCAUCCUGUAAGUUUUUAUCACUUAUCUUAAAAAUAGCUAAUUAUUCUGAGACUCACCAGAGAGUUGGUCAAGUUCUUAAGAGUGUUUAUGGCUUCGUAAAAGACACCAACAGAUUAUAAAGCGAAGGCGAUAGAUUAAACAACAAGCAUCAUUCAGUAGCCAAGCAUAUUCCCAGUUUAUCGCUCUUGAAGUUGUCAUCCUCUGUCGGGACGUUGCUCUCCUCUCCGUGAAUCAUGCAAGACAAGUGCAGCUUGCAGCGUUGUGGGGCCGUCGUGACGGGGCGCAAAUGCCCCUUUCUAUUCGCUCAGCUCAGGGUCUUAACCUCGGCUGUAUUUUGAAUCCGCUUGGCUUGUUAAAUGUAGGUAGUACAAUGGAGGCGUUUUAUUACUUCUGGCUAUACGAUGUCACACCUACUUAUGUAGGUAGCCAAGAUACAAUUCCAGUAUUUUUUUUUUUUUUUUUAAAUGUUUAGUGUGACAACUAUUUAAUAUGUGUGAUUUGGAAAAGACAUUGGGUAAUUGCUGUUCAUCGAACACUCUGAUUUUAACAUAUUUUUAAAUCAUUUAUUUGCAUUGGCUAUAGUAUACAUUAUUUGUAGUUGUUAUUUAUGAGUUCCUGAUACCUCGAUGACAUUUUAGAUUUCUCUGUCUUUUUUUUUUCUUUUUUUUUUUUUUUUUUUUUUUUUUUUUUUUUGCUGGGGGAGGGAGGCGAAAUGCGAGCACCAUUUUCAACAGAGAUGCCCCCCUCCCCUCCUUUUUUUUGUGUGGUCUCAUUAAGUGGGCAUCCUGCUAGGUCUGCGGAGUUAUACGGGAGCUGUCCAAUCACUGCAUUUGCACGGCUUGUUAGCGACAUUUAAUGAGGGUUCUCUGCAAACCAAGUGAAUGGCGCUUCAAUGUUAGAUUUACCUUGUGUCAACUCGUUACUUCUAAUGAACCCAUUGGAGGUUUCGUUGGUGAAUGGAGCCGGACGCCUGGAACUGCAGGCCCUCUUUCUUCCGGUUUCUCUCAGAGCUUUGGCUUGGCCCAAAUCCAUAGUGUGUGGUGUGGGUGGUGAGGACUUGCACUGUAUUUUGGGGGGUCGGGGGGAGUAGCGGAGAUAUUCGUAGCUACGUUGUAUCCAUUCUAAUGUUGUUUAAUUGAUUAUGUUGAUUUCAGGACCUCAUUCAGGAUCAAAAUCAUACCCAUAACCUUUGAGUGAUAAAGUACUAAUUUUUCAAAACCCCUCAUCGCUAUAAUUGCACAAACCUACUUCUACACACAGCGUACCUUUUUAGGAUUAUCCACCACAAUCUACACAUUUUAACACAAUGUUUUGAUAUUUAGGGAUAUUUUUGUUUAAGUUUUGCACUGUGCAACAAGGUGUUUAAUCUUGAUGCAAAUGUUUAAGAGUGUUUAAAGCUGAAUGCAUAUUUAGUUAUUUAAAAUAUUACUGAUAAUAUAAACAAUAGUGAUGAUGAUUUUAUAGAAUGUAUGCAGCAAUUUCUAGAAAAUAUGCAAUAAAAAAAAAAAAACUUCGAGUACUGUUGUGAGGCAUGCAAACCCUAGUUAUUAGAUAUUAGAUGUAUAAUGUUUAUAAUUUUACGAAACUGUACAGUCACUGACAUUAACAUAAUAAAUUAACAGAUUAAAAAAACAAAACAACUUUUGACCAAACCGUGUGCUGCCAAUUACACAAAAUUAAAGUGAAAAUAAAUAUUACAUGAUUAAGCCUGAGACUGCAUAUCGCUUUUUGGUUCUAUAGCCUAUUAGAUUCUGAUGUGAAACUUGAAUUUCUCGAAUUAACCAAUAAUUGUGUAAAACAUGAGAGAAGCUUAACGAGAGACUACGUUGAUUUAAUGUUUUCCAUAAAAACCUGGUUUAAGAAGUAGUCUACAGGUAUUCAACGUGUUUAAAUUAAACCUUCGUACAUCCUGUUGUCAUUUACUCGGGCGGGGUAUGGUCUUGUUUUGCGUUUCGUAUUGGUAGCCCUAUCAGUUUUGUCAGUCUUGAUCAGGUGCAAAGUGAUAAGAUAGAACCAUUGAGGCCGCUGUCAUAACGACCCGGGGCAACCCGACAAUAAUUCAUAAACGCUGGCAAUCUGUCACUCUGCGUCUACGGGGAGGUUUCUAUUAGAGCUUUUAAAUUGGCAGAAAGUGAAACACAGGUCUUUGCCUAGUAAGACAACCCAAUCUGGAGCAAAUCGUCAACAUGGGCAAAUUAUUAGCGCCUCAGUUGAGCUACCGCUGAAAGGGCAGACCCAUUCAUGAAUUGUGCUCAAUCUCUUCGUCCAUUCUUUCUCAGUCAUUCAUGCUAUAAUGAUUCAAUUUAGGCAUGUUGGAAAAAUGAGACCCAAAUGUAGGUGGAAUAUUUUAAGAUUUUUCAGUUUAACUCAUUCUUCCUACGCUCAAUGAGUCUUUGUACGUGAUUGAAUUAUUUAAUUUGUUGUUAAUAUUAUAAUUUGUGUCUCCAACAUCACUGUACGUUGGAUUGGAUCCAUCGAUACAUCCAAAGUACAGUAAUAUGUUGGAGGAGAAAAAAAAGUUCUAACCAUUGAGAUAUAUAUGAGAUGUUGUUUCCGGUCUAAAAAUAGACGUGCUGAACUUUUAAACAUAAAUGCGAAGGAAACUAAAAUAAUGAAUGCUUACAUUAUUUGACAUAAUACACUACAUACAAUGUUGAUAAAAUACAGCGAUAAAGAAGUUUUUAUUUUUAUUAUUAUUGGGCUCAAUUUUAUUUUUGAAAUAGAAUUAAUUAAUUUUAGAUUUAUUUGAUUCAUAAUGUAAUAAAGUGCAACAUUUGAUAAGGAACAGUGCACCAUGCAACCUGUCUUUCCCUGUUCCGCCUAAACUGCUGUGUUUAACAUAAGCCUUUUCCUCGUCCUUCAUUUGACAGGGAAGUCAAGUGACUGAAAAAUUACACGAGUGAAACCAGCAUAUUUAAAUAGGACAAGCCCUGCUAUUGUAGCUUGACGUGUUUUUGUUCCUGUUAUCGAGAAUGACAGUGAUUGUUGCUCGAGAAUGAUAAAUAAUAAUUGCAUUUUGUUUUGCUCACAUCAUGUUUCCCCCCCCCCUGGAAUUUGACUAGACACAUUUGAAUGUUUUAGUUUAUGUAUUGGUAUUUGAAUGAUAUGUUUAAUAAGGGUGCUCAUUCUUAAUUUUUGUAUUGGCAUCAUGUAAUGUGUAUUCCCAUGUAUUUUAUAAUUUUACUAUAUUUCAUCAGUGAUGAAUCCAGGCUGGUUAAAGAAUAAAUAUAAAAACACUGGCUUGUGUCUGAGCGACCUGUGCUGACCUACAAAAGCUCUCAUUUGUAAAGGUUAGGCAAUCCUUUGGUAAACAUGUAUUACAACUCUGCUUAUGUCUGAUAUCAACUGUAAUUCCAACUCCCUCACUAACUCAUUCACUCACUCACUCAUUCAAAAAAUUAAAUAAAUAAAAAUAAAUAAAUAAAUAAAUGAAUCACGAAUGCAACCAAUGCGAAAUAUGUAUUAUUGAUUGGUCAUGAUCUAGAUUUUGGUCUGCCCUGGGACAAUUCCUUAUAAAAUGUUUAACUUUUCAUUUAUUUCAGCAAUUUAAAUAUUAACUUACCUUAUCAGAAGUUUAAGUCAAGGAGGUGAACAGAGUCAUCUAGAUUUUUUAGGCCUACUUAUGAUUACUUGGCAGUGACUGAAAGUGUAGCAUCCAGAACUUGUUAUUCAUGGGUGAAAAGCAUCUGUCGAAUAGGAUUUCUGUCUAAAGAAGGGUUUGACCACAGAGAUCAAUAGAGGACGUCUGGAUUGCUACAGGAGAUGAAAUGCGCUACAUCGCUUUGACAGGUACAAGGCGCUACUUUGAGGAGACGCGCGAAAUAUCAACAGGUAGAUAUGCUUUAUAUGCCGAGUGUAUCUAACGAAUAGCUAAAGAGAAAUUCUGAAAAAUAAUUUUGAGAUUUUGAACUUGUGAACUCGUGAUUUUUUAACGGGACACUGACAGGAAGUUACAAACAAAGAACUCUCUUAAGUUUUGUUGUGUUCCUCACGAAGACGGAGGUAUUUUUAGUUAUUUUGACGUAUUUUACUUAGUGUUGAUAUUAACAGAUCAACGAGUAUCAAUUUUUGGUUUAGUUGAUUAUUUUUUAUAUUUAAAUUACUUACAAACAGAGGCUGCAAAAAUGGUCAUUCUAUUUCGAUUAAUGUAAUUUGAAGAGGUUUUGGAAAAUUAAAGGAUGCUAUGUUUGUUAUUAAACUCUUUAGGCUUACAUUGUCUGAUAAAAUUAAUGAUACUUUCAGAAAAGUUAAAUUUCUUUCAACAGAAUUAAUUAGAUUUUACGUGAAUGUAUAUGAUUGAUAGUGUUAUAAAGUGAAGCUAUAGUGGCAAGGCUUCAGCCAGGGGUUUAUAGUCUAGUCUGUAACUUAUUUGUAUGUUUUUCAAUUCACAAUGAAAUUUUCUUUUCUUUGGAAAGCCCAUCGCACCCAGUUAUAAUGUUUCCCUCGUGUUUGUAUAGCAUCCACUUCCAGAGUUGAUCGAUAUUAGAGUUGACUAGGAAAAAAACUCAAUGUUUGCACAUGCUGUUCUGACGAAAUCUUGAAACACAAAUGUAAUUAUGCCAGUCUAACUUCUGAAACGUUCAUUUUUAGCGCCCCUUUAAGGUACUUGAUCACAUUUUUUUUUUUUUUUUUGCAGAUUAACGCAUAUGUAUUAUUUAUCACUUAAUUACAUUAUAGAAGAUACUCAAGCAGAUGUCAAAACGUCUUAAAAAUGUUUAUGAUUGAGUGAGUGAGUCCAGUGCGCGACGCAUUAUCCCGUGCCCAAAUGAAAAAUUAAUGACUGACAGCUGUAACCUGUAGCCUGUAGCCAGCCCUCGGUCUUUCAAUUGCUUUGAUGGUCAUCACAUCCACCAUCUCAGACUAUAUGCUCAAAUACGGUUACGUUAUUGAUUUAUGACCUGUAAUUCCUUGAUAGCCUAAUACAGUGGGAGAAUGAAACCCCAAAUUAUCUAAAUAA
Megalobrama amblycephala (Wuchang bream) is the source of this 7186-nucleotide long non-coding RNA. RefSeq lists it as uncharacterized. The record is from RefSeq and is a predicted model, not a curated record. NCBI's taxonomy places the organism in Eukaryota, Metazoa, Chordata, Actinopteri, Cypriniformes, Xenocyprididae. The transcript has 2 exons.